AGUGUCUCCUUGAUCUCCUUCCUGCCAUUCCUGGCAGUUCAUGGAUUCAUAUGAAAAGAGACAAUUCACAGACUCAGAGUUGUGUUAUUUAUUUUAAAUCUUUCUAUGGAUAUAUUGGGAUGUUUUGUGAGCUUUC
This 136-nucleotide small nucleolar RNA is filed under the name Nannospalax galili (Upper Galilee mountains blind mole rat). RNAcentral's name for it is "Small nucleolar RNA SNORA75 (ENSNGAG00000002927.1)". Lineage: Eukaryota; Metazoa; Chordata; Mammalia; Rodentia; Spalacidae. The record is from RNAcentral.